Molecule: ribosomal RNA, 394 nt
Filed under: uncultured Planctomycetia bacterium
Lineage: Bacteria; Pseudomonadati; Planctomycetota; Planctomycetia
Description: bacterial SSU rRNA
Rfam family: Bacterial small subunit ribosomal RNA
Source: RNAcentral
GAGUUUGAUCAUGGCUCAGCCUGAACGCUGGCGGCGUGGCUAAGACAUGCAAGUCGUACGGUGUAGCAAUACACAGUGGCGGACGGGUGAGUAAUGAAUCGCUAACGUACCCUCCUGUCUGGGAUAGCCAGCCGAAAGGCUGGGUAAUACCAGAUGAGACCACGGUGGGGCAUCCCACAGUGCUCAAAGGGCAACCGCGGGAGGAGCGGGCGAUUUCGUAUCAGCUAGUUGGUGAGGUAACGGCUCACCAAGGCGACGACGCGUAGCCGGGCUGAGAGGUCGGCCGGCCACAUUGGGACUGAGACACUGCCCAGACUCCUACGGGGGGCUGCAGUAACGAAUCUUCCGCAAUGCACGAAAGUGUGACGGAGCGACGCCGCGUGCAGGAUGAAGU